Long non-coding RNA from Cannabis sativa, 566 nucleotides. RefSeq lists it as uncharacterized. The transcript has 4 exons. The record is from RefSeq and is a predicted model, not a curated record. Lineage: Eukaryota; Viridiplantae; Streptophyta; Magnoliopsida; Rosales; Cannabaceae.
AAUUUUUUCAUUCUGUUCUCUGCCUCCAUUUCGUGGAACUGUGAAGCUCUUCACCAGAUCAAACUGACCAACCACCGUCUCUCUCUCUCCGGCGCCGGACUGGUCUCACCUCGACCGCAGACGGUCAACAUCUUCAGCCAUAUAAGCUUUUAGAGACAGAUAGCCUCAGGUUGCUGAACUGAAAAGAGUUGUUAGCAGAAAUGAAUCACAAAUUUGGGGGAGGAAAGCGACCAACGGGAACUCCUUCGCUGGCAAUGUCGUCUGUGGUCGUUGUUGUUUCUCUUCUUGCUGGGGCCUCUGUUGUCCACAACAUCUACAAGCCUGAUCUUACACUUCCUCCCGUGGAAGCUAUUACCGAAACGAAACCAAAUCAAUCCAAUACAAAAUGAAACCUACACGUAUGCAUAUCUUCCAUCGUUUUUACAAACUUAAAUUGUUGAUUCUUGAGAUUUUGACCCUCUUGUUGUAUGACUUGUGCAUUGAUCUGUUUUGCAGUAUUUUAAUUUGUGAGUGUCAGUUCAACAAUAAUUUAUAAAUAAAUAUUGAUUUUUCCUUUUUAUAAACAA